UUCCAGACUCCUACGGGAGGCAGCAGUGGGGAAUAUUGCACAAUGGGGGAAACCCUGAUGCAGCGACGCCGCGUGAGUGAAGAAGUAUUUCGGUAUGUAAAGCUCUAUCAGCAGGGAAGAAAGUGACGGUACCUGACUAAGAAGCCCCGGCUAACUACGUGCCAGCAGCCGCGGUAAUACGUAGGGGGCAAGCGUUAUCCGGAUUUACUGGGUGUAAAGGGAGCGUAGACGGAGGAGCAAGUCUGAAGUGAAAGCCCGCGGCUCAACUGCGGGACUGCUUUGGAAACUGUUCAUCUAGAGUGUCGGAGAGGUAAGUGGAAUUCCUAGUGUAGCGGUGAAAUGCGUAGAUAUUAGGAGGAACACCAGUGGCGAAGGCGGCUUACUGGACGAUGACUGACGUUGAGGCUCGAAAGCGUGGGGAGCAAACAGGAUUAGAUACCCGGGUAA
This 447-nucleotide ribosomal RNA is filed under the name uncultured bacterium. RNAcentral's name for it is "bacterial SSU rRNA". It matches the Rfam family "Bacterial small subunit ribosomal RNA", at positions 329 to 793 of the family's 1533-position model. The record is from RNAcentral.